CCUACGGGAGACAGCAGUGGGGAAUAUUGCACAAUGGGGGAAACCCUGAUGCAGCGACGCCGCGUGAGUGAAGAAGUAUUUCGGUAUGUAAAGCUCUAUCAGCAGGGAAGAAGAAAGACGGUACCUGACUAAGAAGCCCCGGCUAACUACGUGCCAGCAGCCGCGGUAAUACGUAGGGGGCAAGCGUUAUCCGGAUUUACUGGGUGUAAGGGGAGCGUAGACGGCUGUGCAAGUCUGAAGUGAAAGCCCAGGGCUCAACCCUGGGACUGCUUUGGAAACUGUGGAGCUAGAGUGCUGGAGAGGUAAGUGGAAUUCCUAGUGUAGCGGUGAAAUGCGUAGAUAUUAGGAGGAACACCAGUGGCGAAGGCGGCUUACUGGACAGUAACUGACGUUGAGGCUCGAAAGCGUGGGGAGCAAACAGGAUUAGAUACCCGGGUAGUC
This 441-nucleotide ribosomal RNA is filed under the name uncultured bacterium. Its description in RNAcentral is "partial 16S ribosomal RNA". It matches the Rfam family "Bacterial small subunit ribosomal RNA", at positions 338 to 795 of the family's 1533-position model. The record is from RNAcentral.